Molecule: long non-coding RNA, 1155 nt
Filed under: Gopherus agassizii (Agassiz's desert tortoise)
Lineage: Eukaryota; Metazoa; Chordata; Testudines; Testudinidae
Description: lncRNA (ENSGAGG00000004665.1)
Source: RNAcentral
UCUCGAUCUUCUAGAGGUGGGGUUAUCCCCGUGUGGACCUCUUCCCGUCCGGGGGGAACAGGAAAUGCCAGGCGUUCUGCUCUUUUCAGGGCAGGGCACCCGGGUCUAUAGCGGAUGCCUUCCUUAUUCCGUGGACGACCCACUUGUACUACGCGUUUCCCCCGUUCCCGCUGGUCCACAGGGUCCUUCUGAAGGUGCGCAGGGACAGGGCCCGCGUGAUCAUGGUAGCCCCGGCGUGGCCCAGGCAACAUUGGUACCCCAUGUUGCUGGACCUGGCCUUAGCCGACCCAGUUCCCCUGCCCCUUCACCCGGACCUGAUCACCCAGGAACACGGGACUCUCUGUCACCCGGACCUGCAGUCGCUGCACCUAGCGGCGUGGCUCCUGCGUGGCUGACCAGUUCUGAACUGCGCUGCUCCACCCCGGUACGGGAGGUACUCUUGGGCAGCAGGAAGCCUUCCACUAGAGCGACUUACUCGGCCAAGUGGAAGCGUUUCUCCUGUUGGUGCGUGGAGAAAGGUCUCCGCCCGAUGGAAGUUUCGGUGGCCAAUAUUUUAGACUAUAUUUGGUCCCUCAAACAACAGGGCCUGGCGAUAUCGUCCUUGCGGGUCCACCUGGCGGCUAUCUCCACCUUUCACCCGGGUGGGGAUGGCCGCUCCGUUUUUUCUCACCCGACGGUGACUAGAUUCCUGAAGGGGCUGGAACGUUUAUACCCUAACGUCCGACUCCCUGCUCCAACCUGGGAUCUUAACCUGGUGUUGUCUCGGCUCAUGGGGCCCCCCUUCGAGCCGUUAGCUACUUGCUCCCUACUCUAUUUCUCUUGGAAGACUGCCUUUCUAGUAGCUAUCACCUCAGCUAGACGGGUGUCGGAACUCCGGGCUCUCACGGUAGACCCCCCGUAUACAGUCUUCCAUAAAGAUAAGGUGCAGCUGAGGCCACACCCGGCCUUUCUCCCCAAGGUGGUCUCAGCCUUCCACAUCAACCAAGAGAUAUUCCUCCCGUUUUUUUUCCCGAAACCUUACUCUUCAGGCAGGGACCAACAGCUCCACUCGCUUGACGUCCGUAGGGCUCUCGCGUUCUAUGUGGAGAGGACCAAACCGUUCCGCAAAUCCCCCCAGCUUUUCAUGGCAGUAGCGGACCGCAUGAAGGGGCUUCC